RNAcentral lists this non-coding RNA (31 nucleotides) under Mus musculus (house mouse). The record is from RNAcentral. Lineage: Eukaryota; Metazoa; Chordata; Mammalia; Rodentia; Muridae.
UACUGGUCCAUUGUAGCUAACAUGUUACAGA